Molecule: long non-coding RNA, 1953 nt
Filed under: Homo sapiens (human)
Lineage: Eukaryota; Metazoa; Chordata; Mammalia; Primates; Hominidae
Description: non-protein coding lnc-ZNF100-2:2
Source: RNAcentral
CCCCCCUCCAGCUUGCCCUGCCCACCAACCAGGAGCGGGGCCAGCCUGGAUCUCUUCUCUGCCGCUGGCGUAGGGGCGGGGGCGGGGGACAGUGUCUUCAGCAAAAGUCUGCGGAUAGAAAGGCCCCGCUCCUGUCCGGACAGCAGGAAUGGGAGAGCCGCCUCCAACCCCAGCCCCAUGGAGCAGGGCAGAAACGCUGCCCACUGCCCUGCUCCUGCCACCAGGAAGGGCGUGUGGGGGGCCACUUUCUGUAAAGAAGAAACCGCCUGAACAACAAGUGGCUCAAGGCACCCUUGUCUAACGACCAGGGACACUGAGCGCCAGGGCCCAAGUCACCAGCAAGAGAAAACCCAGGCGGAGCCCAGGGUGUCCCCCACUGCCCACCAGCCACUGCGGUCAACGUGAAGGGCAAGGGUGCAAGCGGGAUCGCGUCACAGGGAGCCGAGUGAGCCCAGAAAGUAGGAGAAGGACGUUUCCACCCACCUGGAGCGCAGUCCGUUUGCAGCCGGCGGCAGAAUGCUGCUGUCUCCAUCAAUAAAGUCCAUGUUAGCCACCUAGAGGAUAAAAUACCACGAGGAGGAGUAGCAAGGUGCCCCUGUUGACAGAUCUUGAAGCACAAGCUCACUCCCAGAAGCACAGCUGCCUAGUCAACAAACAGCUGACAAUACAUGUCUGAAGGAGCUCAGCUGGGAACAGAAGAAUGGCCCCACUGAGCCUAGCCUAAAUGGCGGACCAUCUCAAUUAUGAGCUAAUAAGUUUUGGAUGAUUUGUUAUGCUGCCAUACCUAACUAAUACAUGCACCCAGUGCAGAUUGGGUGUCAAGAUUUAAAGACAGUUUGAUUAUUAGUCACCUUCUAACAAUGGGCACCCUAAAGGUACUGACAUUUUUCCCGAUUUAAAGUUAAAUGUCUUGUAAGGCAAUGUUGACUGAUGCAGGAAUACUUGUAGACAUGUAUGCAUGUGAUUGGUGCUUAUAUGCACACAGUCCCCCACACCACAGGAAAAAACCGAUGACCAGAGCCUGACCAUUAUGGCCAAGGCCAAAUAGCCAAAGUUUGCCUUUAAUCUAUUUUCUUCAUAUCUAAAAAUUGGAGGUCAAUACUGUGGACAGGUCUGAAGACAUAGAGUUUUGUUCUCCUGUGGCCCCAUCAUUCUUCAGUGGUCUACCUGUGGUUAUUUUAUUCUUGUUACCUUCUGCUCUUUCUAUGACCACUAUCUGUUCCACCCUUGAAACUGAAGACAGAUGUUAGUAGAAAGAGGCUGUUCCCUCAUGUCGGGCAUGUGGGAUACGAUGAGGUUUCUCUUCAAAUAGCCUGAUCAAUCUUUUAUUCUUUAAUUCAUAGUACCCACACACACACCCCUUUUUUUCCUUUUUCUCCUUUUUCCUUUCUGCCUUUGUUAGAUGCCCAGGCACGCCACAGUACCAGGCAUUAUCAGUACCAGCUCACAUUUCUUCCCUUAUUUGGAAAGAGGACUAACUUUCUAGCUCAAUGCAGACACCCCUUCCCCUUCCUCUCUGCAUUCUUUUGCAUGCCCACCUUAUCUAAAAAAAUCAAAUGUUUAGCCAACCAGGAUUAGUUCAGAUUGUACGACCCGACCCUGGCCAAUGGGGAAAGGGUACAGGGGCAGGACUUGUGUCAGGAAUAAAGGCUCUUGUGCCCCUUUGUUCAGGUGUGCUCUCAUGGUGACUGGACAAGAACGCACCCCUCUGUGCAGAACUAAAAUUGCUUUGCUAGGAAUCCUUUGUUCGAGUGUUCAAUUUCCUUAUGAUUUUGAGCGUUAUUCCUAACAGGAAGAAAAGGGAUAUUCAGGCCUUUCACAGACCUGACAACAGAGCUGCACUUCAAUGUGACAGGUAUUGACCAUGUGUGACUCCUGGGAGCCUGGAAUGUGGCUGGUCUGAGCUGCAAUUUGCAAGAAAGGUAAAAUGCAGAGUUAGUUUCAAAGAUUUAG